GUGGUAUUAACACUCAAGGCAUUCGUCCCUGCUGAAAGGGCUUUACGAUCCGAAAACCUUCAUCACCCACGCGGCGUCGCACCAUCAGAGUUUCCUCCAUUGUGGAUGCCUCUCG
Molecule: ribosomal RNA, 115 nt
Filed under: uncultured bacterium
Lineage: Bacteria
Description: partial 16S ribosomal RNA
Source: RNAcentral